UGGGAUAUAGCAUAAAUAAUGUAUUUCGCUUACACUGAAAUGAUGGCUUAAUAGCAAGCCUUUCCCGA
This 68-nucleotide transfer RNA is filed under the name Tegula brunnea (brown turban snail). RNAcentral describes it as "Chlorostoma brunnea (brown turban snail) tRNA-Val". The record is from RNAcentral. Lineage: Eukaryota; Metazoa; Mollusca; Gastropoda; Trochida; Tegulidae.